CGGGAUAUGGCGCAGUUUGGUAGCGCGCUUCCUUGGGGUGGAAGAGGUCGGGAGUUCAAAUCUCCCUAUUCCGACCA
Molecule: transfer RNA, 77 nt
Filed under: Mitsuokella multacida
Lineage: Bacteria; Bacillati; Bacillota; Negativicutes; Selenomonadales; Selenomonadaceae
Also listed under: 2 other names
Description: tRNA-Pro
Rfam family: tRNA
About the family: Transfer RNA (tRNA) molecules are approximately 80 nucleotides in length. Their secondary structure includes four short double-helical elements and three loops (D, anti-codon, and T loops).
Source: RNAcentral